AUGGAUGGCGCUGGUGGGUGGAUGAACUGCGGAGGCACACCACCACGCCGGCCUGGCCGUGGCGGCCGCCGAAGGUGGAGAAGGAGUGGUGAGGGGGAGAGAGAUGGAGAUGUGGCCAGGCCCGAUGGGGAAUGGAGGCAAUCUAGGGAUUUUGAUCCCCUCCCUGAUCUGCAAACUUUACACAUUAGCCCUCCUCCUUCUCUUCUUUCUUCACAAGAAGGUCCUCUCACUUCUUUAGCUAGCCCCCUGGUUACUUCUUUUCAUCUCACACAAGUCUCUUCUUCCUUCUCUUCUUUUCUUCACUCUUCUCGAUAA
RNAcentral lists this ribosomal RNA (315 nucleotides) under Triticum aestivum (bread wheat). RNAcentral describes it as "partial small subunit ribosomal RNA". The record is from RNAcentral. Lineage: Eukaryota; Viridiplantae; Streptophyta; Magnoliopsida; Poales; Poaceae.